Molecule: ribosomal RNA, 320 nt
Filed under: uncultured eukaryote
Lineage: Eukaryota
Description: partial 18S ribosomal RNA
Rfam family: Eukaryotic small subunit ribosomal RNA
Source: RNAcentral
CCCUUAGAUGUUCUGGGCCGCACGCGCGCUACACUGAACAGUUCAACAAGUCUUAACCUUGGCCGAUAGGUCUGGGUAAUCUUUGAACGCUGUUCGUGAUUGGGAUAGACCUUUGCAAUUAUGGGUCUUCAACGAGGAAUUCCUAGUAAACGCAAGUCAUCAGCUUGCAUUGAUUACGUCCCUGCCCUUUGUACACACCGCCCGUCGCACCUACCGAUUGAGUGGUCCGGUGAAAUCUCGGGACGGCGGCUUGGUCGCUUGCGUCCGACUGCUGAAACUUGAUUAAACCAUAUCAUUUAGAGGAAGGUGAAGUCGUAACA